Molecule: unclassified non-coding RNA, 154 nt
Filed under: uncultured Cephalothecaceae
Lineage: Eukaryota; Fungi; Ascomycota; Sordariomycetes; Sordariales
Description: sequence contains ITS1
Source: RNAcentral
CGAGAGUGAAAACUCCCUAAAACCAUUUGUUUAUCUACCUGUUUGUUGCUUCGGCAGGCGGUCCCCCAGGGGGCUGUACCUGCAAAGGCGUCUGCCGAAGGCACCCAGAACUCUUGCUGUCAGUUGUCAUCUGAGCUAUAACAAAAAUGAAUCA